RNAcentral lists this ribosomal RNA (421 nucleotides) under uncultured archaeon. RNAcentral's name for it is "partial 16S ribosomal RNA". It matches the Rfam family "Archaeal small subunit ribosomal RNA", at positions 323 to 746 of the family's 1478-position model. The record is from RNAcentral.
CUACGGGCGGCUGCAGGCGCGAAAACUUUACAAUGCGGGAAACCGCGAUAAGGGGACACCGAGUGCCAGCAUCUAUGUUGGCUGUCCACAUGUGUAAACGGCAUGUGUUAGCAAGGGCCGGGCAAGACCGGUGCCAGCCGCCGCGGUAACACCGGCGGCCCGAGUGGUAAUCACUUUUAUUGGGUCUAAAGGGUCCGUAGCCGGUUUGAUCAGUUCUUCGGGAAAUCUACAGCUCAACUGUUAGGCUUCCGGGGAAUACUGUCAGACUUGGGACCGGGAGAGGUAAGAGGUACUACAGGGGUAGGAGUGAAAUCUUGUAAUCCCUGUGGGACCACCAGUGGCGAAGGCGUCUUACCAGAACGGGUCCGACGGUGAGGGACGAAAGCUGGGGGCACGAACCGGAUUAGAUACCCCUGUAGUC